RNAcentral lists this long non-coding RNA (3312 nucleotides) under Equus caballus (horse). RNAcentral describes it as "lncRNA (ENSECAG00000050049.1)". The record is from RNAcentral. Lineage: Eukaryota; Metazoa; Chordata; Mammalia; Perissodactyla; Equidae.
CAGUCUCCUUCAGACAGAUGAGCUCCAAGAGUCCCAGAGUAUGUUUCUGGACCUCCAAGGCCAAGACUACAGCCAGUUCAUGGUGCUGUCAGCCUGAGGGGGCCUUUGGGGGCUGCCAGGCAGACACCCUCUCUCUCAUCACCCUUCCUGUCUGUCUUCAGAACCAAGCACAAUGGUUGGCUAUAUAAAAUGCCAGGAAAUAAGUGAAAGUCCAAGAUGGUAAGAAAACUUUCCAGAAGGCUAAAAGGCACAAACAAUGUGAAAUGGCAAUAGAGAGGAAGACUUCUCUAACUGAAAUAAGUCAUCAGCCAGAAACUGUCAAGAACCUUGUAACAAACCAUACCCACGGAGCUGCUCAGCGAGAACUGUGAGCUGCUUUGAAGAGAGUCUGGCAGAGCUCCGCCUCUGCUUGAACCUGGUGCUCAGACGGCCUGUUGGGAGACGGAUCCCCACCAGGUCCAACCCACCUGCUCAACAUGAGCUGCAAAUUAAAACAUAUCUCUCUCUCUUUUUUUAAAAUUUUUUGUUUUUAUAGCAGUAACAUUGGAUUAUAACAUUAUAUAACUUUCAGAUGUACAUCAUAACAUAUUUCAAAUUCUAUGUAGAUUACAUCAUGUUCACCACCCAAAGACUAAUUAUAAUCCAUCACCACACAUGUGCACCUAAUCACCCCUUUUGCUCUCCUCGCCCUUCCCCUCUGGUAACCACCAAUCCAAUCUCCGUUGCUAUGUGUUUAUUUGUCAUCGUUUCUAUCUUCUACUUAUGAAUAAGAUCAUAUGGUAUUUGACUUUCUCCCUCUGACUUAUUUCACUUAGCAUAAUAUCCUCAAGGUCCAUCCAUGUUGUCACAAAUGGCUGGAUUUCAUCCUUUCUUAUGGCUGACUAGUAUUCUGUUACAUAUAUAUACCACAUCUUCUUUAUACAUUUGUCCCUUGAUGGGCACCUAGGUUGCUUCCAAGUCUUGGCUAUUGUGAAUAAUGCUGCGACGAACAUAGGGGUGUAUAUAUCUUUAUGCAUUUGUGUAAAACACAUCUCUUACAGAAUCCAUUUCUAAUGGAUAUUAAAGGGAGAUUCCCCCAUGUUUGUUUUUAUUAACAGAUACCUCAUCUUUUUUUUUUCUGUCUUAUUCUCCUAAUUCCACGAAUAAAAGAGUAAGUGUAUUUAUUCAUUCAUUUAAAAAAAAGUGAAUACCUACUCUAUGCUAGGUAUUUUGCUGAGUGUUGUGGAAAAAAGAUGACAAAGACAUUGGCUCUAUCCUAGCAAGGCUCACAGUGUAGCCAGGAAGAUAAUUUAUAAAAAGUAUCUUUUCAUAAAGAUAAGUGCUGUAACACACCCUUGAACCCUUUCCUAUUUCAAGGCAGCAGGCUUCUCAACUGUGUGCAAAUAGCAACAUCGUUGAUCACGUCCUUUGUCUGGAGUGCCCCUCUAUUAACUUGCUGCCAACCCAUCAGAUAAUAGCAGUAAUUAUGGUGUGAGGUUGUUUUUUUGUUUUUGUUUUUUCUGGUUCAUUAAGCUGGAAAUGUUUUGUUUCUCUUUCAUAUCUCAACUGGGUUUUGUUUCCUGUCUAAUUAUCCAUGUUGGUAUUUUAAAGUGAGCAGGAGAAUAGAAUUUAUUUAUUUUGUUUACAGUUGUGUCAUAAAGGGUAAUUUAUUUUCUUCUAGUUGAAGGAAACGAGAGACAGGGAGUCAAGCAACCCAACGGUUGUCUGUCUAGGUUUGCCAAAACUAAAUAUGACUUUGAACGAAAAUCUUAUUGAAACAAGCUGGACCAGGUAAUUUCUAAGGGUCCUCCGACUUUGAUAAUCUAUUACUUAUACGUGAAAUUAUACAUUAGGUGGGUUAACAUUAAAAAUCAAUUGUCAGGGGCCGGCCCCGUGGCUGAGUGGUUGAAUUUGCAUGCUCUGCUGCAGGUGGCCCAGGGUUUUGUCGGUUCGAAUCCUGGGCGCGGACAUGGCACCGCUCAUGGAGCCACGCUGGGGCGGCGUCCCACAUACCACAACUAGACAGACCCACAAUUAAGAAUACACAACUAUGUACCUGGGGACUUUGGGGAGAAAAAUGAAAAAAAUAAAAUCUUUAAAAAAAAAAUCAGUUAUCAGCAACUUAAAAGGAAAAUCUUAAUACAGUGAUGGAAUAUAGCCUGAUAUUUAUAUAGAACAAUUCAUCUGAAACAGUGGAGAAAUAUGUUCCAUACUGUCACACAUUGUUUUCAUUAAUACAACUCACAUAAGUCAUCUGAUAUCCAACAAGUGUUGGCAAUAGCAAAUAUUUGGUAGACGUUCAAAGUUUGCCACAUGUUUUCACACAUAAUCCUCACAACAGAUGGGGAAACUGAGGCUUGGACAGUGUAAGGUCUUUCGCCAAAGAUGUGCAGAUAGCAAAGGGUAGCCUCGGAGAUCAGGAUUCUCAUUUACAUCUUCUUCCUCAGAAUUCACUGCUUUUUAUGUUUCAAUGUGGCUGCUUCCCAAAGUGCUUCACAUAUUCAAGGAAAUUCUCAGGAGAAUGUUGCUUCAAACCACAUGCUGGAGGGGUUGACCCUAUUGCGUUUGUGUCGAGGCUGGUCUAGGAAGGGGGGUGGCUCACUCAGACCUUCCUGGCCUGUGGCCCUCUGAUGGUUUAGGGGCAGUUGAAGGCCGACCUGAAGUUGGGAUCUACCGGUUCAGAUCUCUUCUCCAGGAGGCUGACAAUAUGCAGGUUUGAAGUGUGUCAGCAAAAAUAGCAAAGGAAAGAAAUGAUUCUAGUUAAAUAAGGCACUGGGUUCUUAAAGACUCCACCCACAACUAUCAUUGAAGGGCUUAUUCAGAUUUAUUCUAUAUAGCAAAUGGUUUCUAAAUCAGCUGGAAUUAUACGCAAGUCUGCGUGUUGUUUUUCACACAUCACUUUGUCCUCUAACGUUCCUGCAACAUGCAAUGUCUUUUGGUGUCAGUGGGACUGUAUUUUACUCUCUGAAAAUCUUCAUGAUCUUCAAAGCAAAAGGCUUUGAAGUUUUCUAAUCUUUGACACUGUACCUCGAAAAGACAAUAGUUCUUACACUGCAGUCUGGUGUGUCCUCCUCAGCCUCAUUUUCUGGAGGUUAAGGUUUCCAAUGUCUACCCUGCCGAGGAGAUAUGUCCCCAGCCUAAUUUACUGAAGAUUUAUCAAGCGUCUAUUUUCCAAAAGCUUCUCCAUUGAUGAGGCAAUGUAUGUUUGUGUGAGGCAGGAUUAAAAGAAUGCAUAAGUGAUUGUGGUGUCAGUCACGCAGAGAAUGUAACAACCUCCCUACCGUACAAAAAAACCUAAGUGCUGUGGGAACGUGUGUUGCAAGGGUGUGUUUU